RNAcentral lists this ribosomal RNA (497 nucleotides) under uncultured bacterium. RNAcentral describes it as "partial 16S ribosomal RNA". It matches the Rfam family "Bacterial small subunit ribosomal RNA", at positions 28 to 507 of the family's 1533-position model. The record is from RNAcentral.
GACGAACGCUGGCGGCGUGCCUAAUACAUGCAAGUUGAGCGCUGAAGGUUGGUACUUGUACCGACUGGAUGAGCAGCGAACGGGUGAGUAACGCGUGGGGAAUCUGCCUUUGAGCGGGGGACAACAUUUGGAAACGAAUGCUAAUACCGCAUAAAAACUUUAAACACAAGUUUUAAGUUUGAAAGAUGCAAUUGCAUCACUCAAAGAUGAUCCCGCGUUGUAUUAGCUAGUUGGUGAGGUAAAGGCGCACCAAGGCGAUGAUACAUAGUCGACCUGAGAGGGUGAGCGGCCACACUGGGACUGAGACACGGCCCAAACUCCUACGGGAGGCAGCAGUAGGGAAUCUUCGGCAAUGGACGAAAGUCUGACCGAGCAACGCCGCGUGAGUGAAGAAGGGUUUCGGAUCGUAAAACUCGGUUGGUAGAGAAGAACGUUGGCGAGAGUGGAAAGCUCAUCAAGUGACGGUAACUACCCAGAAAGGGACGGCUAACUACGUG